This 578-nucleotide ribosomal RNA is filed under the name uncultured bacterium. RNAcentral describes it as "bacterial SSU rRNA". It matches the Rfam family "Bacterial small subunit ribosomal RNA", at positions 338 to 916 of the family's 1533-position model. The record is from RNAcentral.
CCUACGGGAGGCAGCAGUGAGGAAUAUUGGUCAAUGGACGGAAGUCUGAACCAGCCAAGUAGCGUGCAGGAUGACGGCCCUAUGGGUUGUAAACUGCUUUUAUGCGGGGGUAAAGUGAGUGACGUGUCAUUCAUUGCAAGUACCGCAAGAAUAAGGACCGGCUAAUUCCGUGCCAGCAGCCGCGGUAAUACGGAAGGUCCUGGUGUUAUCCGGAUUUAUUGGGUUUAAAGGGAGCGUAGGCCGUCAGGCAAGCGUGUUGUGAAAUGUCGUGGCUCAACCAUGGACUUGCAGCGCGAACUGCCCGACUUGAGUGCGCAGAAAGCAGGCGGAAUUUGUGGUGUAGCGGUGAAAUGCUUAGAUAUCACGAAGAACCCCGAUUGCGAAGGCAGCCUGCUGUAGCGCUACUGACGCUGAAGCUCGAAAGUGCGGGAAUCAAACAGGAUUAGAUACCCUGGUAGUCCGCACGGUAAAUGAUGGAUGCCCGUUCUGCGGCCUUAUGGCUGCGGGACCAAGCGAAAGCAUUAAGCAUCCCACCUGGGGAGUACGCCGGCAACGGUGAAACUCAAAUGAAUUGACGG